Molecule: non-coding RNA, 313 nt
Organism: Pelobates cultripes (western spadefoot toad)
Lineage: Eukaryota; Metazoa; Chordata; Amphibia; Anura; Pelobatidae
Source: the annotation of a GenBank genome assembly
CAGACUAUCAAACAACCUAAUUUUCUACCAUCUUUCUGCCAGUCUAAAUCAUCAGAUUCGGAAAGAAAAUGGCAUCUAUUGGAUGUUAUAAUUUACCUACACCAAUCAGCAGAAUACAGAACUUUGGAUCAUCUAUUUAUUAAUUUUUGAGUUUCUGCCGGAGGCAAAAAGGCUUUCUUUAAUAUUGAUUGGACCCUGGGCAAGAAUUUUACUUGGGCUCCCUGUACCCUGCCAUCCUCACUCCCUGGCAUGCAGUCACACUCUUUACAACAUUGUCCCCCUCCUCUCCCAAAAAUCACAUUCAGAUACACAG